CCUACGGGGUGCAGCAGUGAGGAAUAUUGGUCAAUGGACGAGAGUCUGAACCAGCCAAGUAGCGUGAAGGAUGACUGCCCUAUGGGUUGUAAACUUCUUUUAUAUGGGAAUAAAAUGUUCCACGUGUGGGAUUUUGUAUGUACUAUAUGAAUAAGGCUCGGCUAACUCCGUGCCAGCAGCCGCGGUAAUACGGAGGAUCCGAGCGUUAUCCGGAUUUAUUGGGUUUAAAGGGAGCGUAGAUGGAUUGUUAAGUCAGUUGUGAAAGUUUGCGGCUCAACCGUAAAAUUGCAGUUGAAACUGGCAGUCUUGAGUACAGUAGAGGUGGGCGGAAUUCGUGGUGUAGCGGUGAAAUGCUUAGAUAUCACGAAGAACUCCGAUUGCGAAGGCAGUUCACUAGACUGCAACUGACACUGAGGCUCGAAAGUGUGGGUAUCAAACAGGAUUAGAUACCCGUGUAGUC
This 460-nucleotide ribosomal RNA is filed under the name uncultured bacterium. Its description in RNAcentral is "partial 16S ribosomal RNA". It matches the Rfam family "Bacterial small subunit ribosomal RNA", at positions 338 to 795 of the family's 1533-position model. The record is from RNAcentral.